RNAcentral lists this transfer RNA (74 nucleotides) under Cordylochernes scorpioides. RNAcentral's name for it is "tRNA-Ile". It matches the Rfam family "tRNA". From Rfam's summary of the family: Transfer RNA (tRNA) molecules are approximately 80 nucleotides in length. Their secondary structure includes four short double-helical elements and three loops (D, anti-codon, and T loops). The record is from RNAcentral. Lineage: Eukaryota; Metazoa; Arthropoda; Arachnida; Pseudoscorpiones; Chernetidae.
GGCCCAUUAUCUCAGUUGGUUAGAGCGUCAUGCUAAUAACGCGAAGGUCGUGUGUUCGAUCCCCCCAUGGACCA